UACAGAGGGGGCAAGCGUUGUUCGGAAUUACUGGGCGUAAAGGGCGCGUAGGCGGCCUGUUAAGUCGAACGUGAAAUCCCCGGGCUCAACCCGGGAACUGCGUCCGAUACUGGCAGGCUUGAAUUCGGGAGAGGGAUGCGGAAUUCCAGGUGUAGCGGUGAAAUGCGUAGAUAUCUGGAGGAACACCGGUGGCGAAGGCGGCAUCCUGGACCGACAUUGACGCUGAGGCGCGAAAGCUAGGGGAGCAAACGGG
This 253-nucleotide ribosomal RNA is filed under the name uncultured bacterium. Its description in RNAcentral is "partial 16S ribosomal RNA". It matches the Rfam family "Bacterial small subunit ribosomal RNA", at positions 524 to 776 of the family's 1533-position model. The record is from RNAcentral.